GAUGAACGCUGGCGGCGUGCCUAAUACAUGCAAGUCGAGCGAACAGAUGAGAAGCUUGCUCCUCUGACGUUAGCGGCGGACGGGUGAGUAACACGUGGAUAACCUACCUAUAAGACUGGGAUAACUUCGGGAAACCGGAGCUAAUACCGGAUAAUAUUUUGAACCGCAUGGUUCAAUAGUGAAAGACGGUUUUGCUGUCACUUAUAGAUGGAUCCGCGCUGCAUUAGCUAGUUGGUAAGGUAACGGCUUACCAAGGCAACGAUGCGUAGCCGACCUGAGAGGGUGAUCGGCCACACUGGAACUGAGACACGGUCCAGACUCCUACGGGAGGCAGCAGUAGGGAAUCUUCCGCAAUGGGCGAAAGCCUGACGGAGCAACGCCGCGUGAGUGAUGAAGGUCUUCGGAUCGUAAAACUCUGUUAUUAGGGAAGAACAAAUGUGUAAGUAACUAUGCACGUCUUGACGGUACCUAAUCAGAAAGCCACGGCUAACUACGUG
RNAcentral lists this ribosomal RNA (497 nucleotides) under uncultured bacterium. Its description in RNAcentral is "partial 16S ribosomal RNA". It matches the Rfam family "Bacterial small subunit ribosomal RNA", at positions 28 to 507 of the family's 1533-position model. The record is from RNAcentral.